This 225-nucleotide unclassified non-coding RNA is filed under the name plant metagenome. Its description in RNAcentral is "partial contains small subunit ribosomal RNA, internal transcribed spacer 1, and 5.8S ribosomal RNA". The record is from RNAcentral.
UCUCCGUUGGUGAACCAGCGGAGGGAUCAUUGUCGGACGCAGACCCCAAACCAUCGCGAACAUACCCCGAAGAAAUAGUGCCUCGGCGGGCGGCUCCAGGGAGCCCCGGGCCCCCUCCACCGGGAGGGGGCGCCCGCCGGCGGCGCCCCAGACCCUGUCGCAUCUCGUGCCCCUCUGAGUCACACGGACAAGUCAAAACUUUCAACAACGGAUCUCUUGGCUCUG